Long non-coding RNA from Silurus meridionalis, 1073 nucleotides. RefSeq lists it as uncharacterized. The transcript is spliced from 3 exons. The record is from RefSeq and is a predicted model, not a curated record. Lineage: Eukaryota; Metazoa; Chordata; Actinopteri; Siluriformes; Siluridae.
CCGGAUCCGGCACCGCUUUGACGUACUGCACGGUCCGCGCCACGGGCUCCGGGUUUCUCCGGUACAGGAGUGCGAGCUGUAACAGCACGGUUAUCACCGCCCCCGUAAACGCUGAAAUUAAAAUCAAACUUCUCCACAAUGGUGUACUUUCAACCCCGGAUACAAUCAGACAGAUACGUCUUCUAACUUCUGAAAACACACUAGAGUGUGAUGUACUGGGGAGGCUCAACUGGAAAUUCCUUGUGUAUUGGGCCAAUAUUGGCAAUAGAGCCAAUUUCAAAACAGCUCUGCCAACAUGGACUGAGGUUGGCACAGAAGAACAGCUGACUUUCAAGCCAAAAUUCAUGGAUUUAAAAGUGGCUUAAAGUCCAUUGGGUCUUGGGGCCAAACAUUUGCCUGACAGACAAUGCUGUUAAUCCAACAUUAUCUUCAAAUUAGUGCACUUUUUGGGACACUAGUUCAGGUUACCUGCAGCAUUCUAAUUUUCCCAAAAGGUCUACGUUGCUUUUUUACACACAAGCAGACUGCUUUAUCCUCACAGUCAAACAUGGAGGUGGAACUUCACCAUACAACAAGACAAUGACCAGAUGCGUACGUCCGAGCUCUGUAAGCAUUAUUUAGAGAGGAAACGGUGGGCUGGAUUGAUGGCUGCUCAGUCACUGCACUUAAAUCCUAAUGAACUGCUCUGGGAAGAACUGGAGGUCAGAAAGAAAUCUCCAACUAGUGAAGAACACCUCUGGCAGGUUUUACACAGCAAAAUAUUUCAGCUGAACCUUUAGAGAAAGGAACUUGCCGAGAGCGUGUAAAUCUGUUAUUCAUGCUGAAGGAGGAUAUUUCACUUAGAAUAAAGUGGAACAUCUGGACAUUUAUAUCCAAAGUGAUCAUUAUAAUAUCAAAUGACCUGGUGUGUUGCAUAGAAUUAAACAGGCAUGUGUCUCUCAAAAGUCUUAAAAGACUAGGAAUUAUUAUUAGACAUUUAAAUAGUGAUGGUAUAUUAGAUUGCACACAAUUUAAUUAGUAAAUAUUGAGUCAGAAAGUUUGAUUUGGAAGGUUUCUCUGCUACUAAAUUAAUU